RNAcentral lists this long non-coding RNA (1692 nucleotides) under Triticum aestivum (bread wheat). RNAcentral's name for it is "long non-coding RNA (TAES_LNC026439)". The record is from RNAcentral. Lineage: Eukaryota; Viridiplantae; Streptophyta; Magnoliopsida; Poales; Poaceae.
UAAAUAUUUUAUAUAUGCUAUAUUAGAAAAAUAAUCUCAACUGGUAAAAAUAGAAUUAUGUAUUAACAACAUAACCUUAUUAGUGAUUCGGAUUAGAAAACGGUCAUUAAAUUUGCUAAGUAAGGAGUUAGAAAGCUACUAAUGGAGACACGAAAGAGGCAUAAAUUUCACACCCAGAUUCGUGAUGGAUAGUGAACAAUAAAAAAACAAUUGUCUUGCACUACAUUUUUCCAAGGUUAAGCUCAUCUAAAAAACUGCAACAUGGUCAUUAAUUAAGUAGGUGUCAGGAAAAUGUCUAUUGCAGUAGCAAUUGCAAAGCCAAUCUGACUAACAUUUCUUUUUUUGAAACAGAACCUGGCUAAUAAUAAAGCACGUUCAGAAAACUAAACGGGGGCAUCCCAUCUCAUAUUUGAAUUUGUCGUGUGCAAGCUGCUGCUCUGUGAACCAUUUUCUACAGCCCACUCCUAGAGUCUUGGUCAACUAUAUGAGCUUGAUGCAAGCUCGAGUGGAGUCGAACAAAAUAUGAAUAUUAAUUAAAGUAACGCAAAAAAAUAAAUAGAAAAUUAAUGGACACAAGACAUUAGAACUGUGGAGUGUACCCUUUCUCCUCGAGAAGCCCGGUCCACAAGAUUUUUAUUCACCUGAAACAAUCAACAACAUCUCUUACUAAUAGUAGGUGUAUAGAACAACAAAUAUUGCUACACACAGUUUGUGUGGCUACAUUCGAUAACCUACUACCUAAUCCAGCAAAGGCUCGAACCAGACACAGACAACAUUGCGGCUAACCAGAGAAGACACUGCCUAAAUCCAACACAGACUCUAACCAGGGCCUUGAAGAAAUUAAUCAGCCCAAAAGGUUAAUAAGCCACACCACGCAUCACAUACUGAUCAGUGGUGGUGGGAUAAUAUGUGAUCUGAGGCAUGUGCUCGGAAGAGGUUGACGAUGAUGUGGUCGGGCUUGGAUCUGGAUUGGCCUUGCUUGAUAGGCCAUCUUCCCUUUGCUAUUGAAAGCUGAUGCGAGGAGAGAAGUUGUGGCUACCGCCGCCGCUCCGUGCUCUUCUUCAUGAUAAACGAUACGAAAAAUAUAUGACUAUGAGUAUUUUUUCCCAAAUGAGUUCCAGUAAUAUAUCAACUCUUACAGAAAUGAAGGUCUCAAAUUGUUCCUUUUAGAUCUACUAUAGCAAAGAAAUUUGAAUAAGAUACAUUAUUCAGCUUCAACAGAUUUGAAAAGUAGAAAAAGUCAAUGAACAACAGCUACAACAUGUGUUUCUCAUCAUUUAAGGGUUACCAAAUGCCAUAAGAAGUCUCCAAAAAACAACAUGCAGAUGUCACUGUCCUUCUUUACAAGGCAAGCAUGCCUCUUUUUACUGAUGAAAAUGGUCAGUAUAUAUCUCUUAAGAAACUGCAGCAGCAAAUACAUAUAUGAAACACUGGAUACCUCAACAAAAGAUGAUGUUUCAUGGAAGCCACCCGGUGAAUCCCAAAACUAUAAACCUCUCAGCCUCGGGUAAAUGUUUUUCAUCUUCACAAUUAUCUUGACAUCUUGCACAAGCCAUUCUGAAGCACAUAAACAAGAUUAUGUGCCAGACAUAAUAGCUAAGACUUUCUUCAAGAGAAAACUGCUACAAUUCUAUGCAGAUUCUACUACCAACAAGCCUAUAAACAUGUUCAUCACUAUUGCAUCUCUCAACU